UAGUCAUAUGCUUGUCUCAAAGAUUAAGCCAUGCAUGCCUAUGUAUAUGCUCUCGCACAGUGAAACCACGAAUGGCUCAUUAAAUCAGCUAUUGUUUAUUAGAUCAUACCCGUUACAUGGAUAACUGUAGUAAUUCUAGAGCUAAUACAUGCCUCGAAUCCGUGACCCGCGAGGGGAUCGGUGCACUUAUCAGUACAAGACCAACCGGGUGUCUCUCUUUCGGGAGAGAUGCCUGUGAAAGUCGUGUUGACUCUGGAUAAUUUUCUACAGAUCGCAGUCGGCCUUGUGUCGGCGACAGUUCUUUCAAAUGUCUGCCCUAUCAACUUACGAUGGUAGGCAACCUGCCUACCAUGGUGAUAACGGGUAACGGGGAAUCAGGGUUCGAUUCCGGAGAGGGAGCCUGAGAAACGGCUACCACAUCCAAGGAAGGCAGCAGGCGCGCAAAUUACCCACUCCCGGCACGGGGAGGUAGUGACGAAAAAUAACGAUGCGGGGCUCUUUGAGGAUCCGUAAUCGGAAUGAGUACAGUCUAAAGCCUUUAACGAGGACCAAUUGGAGGGCAAGUCUGGUGCCAGCAGCCGCGGUAACUCCAGCUCCAAUAGCGUAUAUUAAAGUUGCUGCAGUUAAAAAGCUCGUAGUUGGAUCUUGACGGCACUGUCGCUGGUCUCUGGUGUCUGGAGGCCUUCUCGGACUUCGGUCUGUUGAGGGUCGCCUUCGUCAUUGACUAGUUGGUGGUGCAGUCUUUCAGCCGUGUCUGUUCCCCUUGGGGUUCAGGUGUCUUGCAGCAGUGGGGGUUACCCUUCACUGGUGUGGGGUACGCACUACGAUCCGCUUCAUUGCGUGUCGUUGUGCGGGCGGCAUGUUUACUUUGAACAAAUUUGAGUGCUCAAAGCAGGCCAAUGUGUCUGAAAAGUCUUGCAUGGAAUAAUAGAAUAGGACUUCAGUUCUAUUUUGUUGGUUUUCGGAUCUGAAGUAAUGGUUAAGAGAGACAGACGGGGGCAUUUGUAUGGCGGUGUUAGAGGUGAAAUUCUUGGAUCGCCGCCAGACAGCCUGAAGCGAAAGCAUUUGCCAGGAAUGUUUUUCAUUGACAAAGAGCGAAAGUCAGAGGUUCGAAGACGAUCAGAUACCGUCCUAGUUCUGACCAUAAACGAUGCCGACUGACGAUCCGUGGGGUAAAAUUCUUUUGUCCCCACGGGCAGUCUCCGGGAAACCUUUAAGUCUUUGGGUUCCGGGGGAAGUAUGGUUGCAAAGCUGAAACUUAAAGGAAUUGACGGAAGGGCACCACCAGGAGUGGAGCCUGCGGCUUAAUUUGACUCAACACGGGAAAACUCACCCGGCCCGGACACUGUGAGGAUUGACAGAUUGACAGCUCUUUCAUGAUUCGGUGGUUGGUGGUGCAUGGCCGUUCUUAGUUGGUGGAGCGAUUUGUCUGGUUAAUUCCGAUAACGAACGAGACUCUAUUCUGCUAAAUAGUACACCCGUAAUUGGUGGGCUGGCUCGACAUUGGUCAUUCUGCACUCGUUGUGGAAAGACUGGCUGUUGGCCUCCUACUGCGCGAGUGAAACUUCUUAGAGAGACAAACUGCGCUAGCAAUGCGAAAUUGAGCAAUAACAGGUCUGUGAUGCCCUUAGAUGUCCGGGGCCGCACGCGCGCUACAAUGACGGUACCAGCGAGUAUGACCUCCUGGCCCGAGAGGGUUAGGCAAACUGGUCCAUGACCGUCGUGACAGGGAUCGGGGUUUGUAAUUAUCCCCCGUGAACGAGGAAUUCCCAGUAAGUGCAAGUCAUAAGCUUGUGCUGAUUACGUCCCUGCCCUUUGUACACACCGCCCGUCGCUACUACCGAUUGAGUGGUUUGGCAAGGCCUUCGGAUCGGCGCCAUUGUAAUCCUUCGGGAUUCGACAGGUGCUGAAAAGAGGACCAAACUUGAUCACUUAGAGGAAGUAAAAGUCGUAACAAGGUUUCCGU
Molecule: ribosomal RNA, 1966 nt
Filed under: Diclidophora denticulata
Lineage: Eukaryota; Metazoa; Platyhelminthes; Monogenea; Mazocraeidea; Diclidophoridae
Description: SSU rRNA
Rfam family: Eukaryotic small subunit ribosomal RNA
Source: RNAcentral